This 315-nucleotide ribosomal RNA is filed under the name uncultured bacterium. RNAcentral describes it as "bacterial SSU rRNA". It matches the Rfam family "Bacterial small subunit ribosomal RNA", at positions 28 to 334 of the family's 1533-position model. The record is from RNAcentral.
GAUGAACGCUAGCGGCAGGCCUAACACAUGCAAGUCGAGGGGCAGCGGGAUUGAAGCUUGCUUCAAUUGCCGGCGACCGGCGCACGGGUGCGUAACGCGUAUGCAACCUACCCAUAACAGGGGGAUAACACUGAGAAAUCGGUACUAAUAUCCCAUAACAUCAAGAGGGGCAUCCCUUUUGGUUGAAAACUCCGGUGGUUAUGGAUGGGCAUGCGUUGUAUUAGGCAGUUGGCGGGGUAACGGCCCACCAAACCGACGAUGGAUAGGGGUUCUGAGAGGAAGGUCCCCCACAUUGGUACUGAGACACGGGACCAA